RNAcentral lists this ribosomal RNA (309 nucleotides) under uncultured bacterium. RNAcentral's name for it is "bacterial SSU rRNA". It matches the Rfam family "Bacterial small subunit ribosomal RNA", at positions 487 to 793 of the family's 1533-position model. The record is from RNAcentral.
GAAGCACCGGCUAACUCCGUGCCAGCAGCCGCGGUAAUACGGAGGGUGCGAGCGUUAAUCGGAAUUACUGGGCGUAAAAGCGCAUGCAGGUGGUUUGUUAAGUCAGAUGUGAAAGCCCGGGGCUCAACCUCGGAAUUGCAUUUGAAAACUGGCAAACUAGAGUACUGUAGAGGGGGUAGGAAUUUCAGGUGUAGCGGUGAAAUGCGUAGAGAUCUGAAGGAAUACCGGUGGCGAAGGCGGCCCCCUGGACAGAUACUGACACUCAGAUGCGAAAGCGUGGGGAGCAAACAGGAUUAGAUACCCUGGUAG